UACGUAGGGGGCGAGCGUUGUCCGGAAUCAUUGGGCGUAAAGCGCGUGUAGGCGGCUCGGUAAGUCUGCUGUGAAAGUCCAGGGCUCAACCCUGGGAUGCCGGUGGAUACUGUCGAGCUCGAGUCCGGAAGAGGCGAGUGGAAUUCCUGGUGUAGCGGUGAAAUGCGCAGAUAUCAGGAGGAACACCAAUGGCGAAGGCAGCACUCUGGGACGUGACUGACGCUGAGACGCGAAAGCGUGGGGAGCAAACAGG
RNAcentral lists this ribosomal RNA (253 nucleotides) under uncultured bacterium. Its description in RNAcentral is "partial 16S ribosomal RNA". It matches the Rfam family "Bacterial small subunit ribosomal RNA", at positions 524 to 776 of the family's 1533-position model. The record is from RNAcentral.